GUCCACGCCGUAAACGAUGGGCACUAGGUGUGGGAGGUGUCGACUCCUUCCGUGCCGUAGCUAACGCAUUAAGUGCCCCGCCUGGGGAGUACGGCCGCAAGGCUAAAACUCAAAGGAAUUGACGGGGGCCCGCACAAGCAGCGGAGCAUGUUGUUUAAUUCGACGCAACGCGAAGAACCUUACCUAGGCUUGACAUGACCUCGUAACUCCUGGAAACAGGAGCCCUCUUCGGAGCGGGGCCACAGGUGGUGCAUUGCUGUCGU
RNAcentral lists this ribosomal RNA (263 nucleotides) under uncultured bacterium. Its description in RNAcentral is "partial 16S ribosomal RNA". It matches the Rfam family "Bacterial small subunit ribosomal RNA", at positions 793 to 1055 of the family's 1533-position model. The record is from RNAcentral.